This is a small nuclear RNA of Pongo abelii (Sumatran orangutan), 107 nucleotides long. The record is from Ensembl. Lineage: Eukaryota; Metazoa; Chordata; Mammalia; Primates; Hominidae.
GUUCUCGCUUUGGCAGCACAAGGACUAAAAUGGGAAUGAUACAGAGAAAAUUAGCACGGCCCCAGUGCAAGGAUGACAUGCAAAUUCAUGAAGCAUUCCAUAUUUUA